GAUGAACGCUGGCGGCGCGCCUAAUACAUGCAAGUCGAGCGAACGGACGAGAAGCUUGCUUCUCUGAUGUUGGCGGCGGACGGGUGAGUAACACGUGGAUAACCUACCUAUAAGACUGGGAUAACUUCGGGAAACCGUAGCUAAUACCGGAUAAUAUUUUGAACCGCAUGGUUCAAAAGUGAAAGACGGUCUUGCUGUCACUUAUAGAUGGAUCCGCGCUGCAUUAGCUAGUUGGUAAGGUAACGGCUUACCAAGGCAACGAUGCAUAGCCGACCUGAGAGGGUGAUCGGCCACACUGGAACUGAGACACGGUCCAGACUCCUACGGGAGGCAGCAGUAGGGAAUCUUCCGCAAUGGGCGAAAGCCUGACGGAGCAACGCCGCGUGAGUGAUGAAGGUCUUCGGAUCGUAAAACUCUGUUAUUAGGGAAGAACAUAUGUGUAAGUAACUGUGCACAUCUUGACGGUACCUAAUCAGAAAGCCACGGCUAACUACGUG
This 497-nucleotide ribosomal RNA is filed under the name uncultured bacterium. RNAcentral's name for it is "partial 16S ribosomal RNA". It matches the Rfam family "Bacterial small subunit ribosomal RNA", at positions 28 to 507 of the family's 1533-position model. The record is from RNAcentral.